Molecule: long non-coding RNA, 342 nt
Filed under: Fukomys damarensis (Damara mole-rat)
Lineage: Eukaryota; Metazoa; Chordata; Mammalia; Rodentia; Bathyergidae
Description: lncRNA (ENSFDAG00000022507.1)
Source: RNAcentral
CUUAAAAUUGACAAACACGGACAUUCUCCAGCUGAAGAUGAGCUCUCCUGAAGACAGAGCAGCCUGUGACAUGUCUACAUGCACGAGGACAGAAGAGAAAAUAAAGUUAUGGGCGAUGACAGAAUUGUGCAGGCGAAUUGCAGCAGCCGUCCUCCGGAUGUCAAGCUCAAUCCCGGUGUCUGUCUGGGAAAUGACGGGUGGCUGUCUCAGAAACUGUCCCGAGGAACGAAGAGCAGGAGAUAGGAUAAUAAUAAACUGCCUGAAAUUUUAUUAUUCUAUAUUUUGAAAUUUUAGCCUGAGCGCAUUUUGGAUGGAAUCCUGAGACAAAGCAGUAUGCCAGUG